Zingiber officinale is the source of this 1104-nucleotide long non-coding RNA. RefSeq lists it as uncharacterized. The record is from RefSeq and is a predicted model, not a curated record. The transcript has 2 exons. NCBI's taxonomy places the organism in Eukaryota, Viridiplantae, Streptophyta, Magnoliopsida, Zingiberales, Zingiberaceae.
AACCAACUAUCCUGAGUCAACUUGUUGACCAGAGCUCGACAUCCCCAAUUUAGCGUCCAGUUGACUCGAGAUUUUCUCAUCACCUGGGCAUUCUGCUAUAUCCAAUGAGCUUCUCCCUCAAAGUGAUGGCCCGAGUCUGACUCGAGAAGAGGGCAUUCCUUCUUCCAUCUUGGUAAGAUUACUUGACUCGGUGGCGAAGACUUGGAUCUUUAUGAUCAAAAGAGUGAAGCGUCUAACCUUUGGGGGUUUAGUGAAGGCGCUUGCUAUAGACUUGAUAGAGGUGUGGGUGGUGUGUAUGGAGAUAGCCACUUGGAUGCCAGAAUUUCUUCAAUCACAUUGAGUCCUACAAACUUGAUUAGGUGAGUUGGAGGCCAGCAAGUCUUGCCGAGUGGAGUGCUGGAGGAGGCGAGAGCAAACAUGGAGAGUUUGAAAGUUGAAGCCUUGGCCCAAGAGGAACAAGUGUGCAGGGUGACUCCAGAGCUAGAAACAACGAAGCUGGAAGUCAACUCCAAGAUAGAUUCUUUGGAGAAACAUGCAUCCAAUCUUCAAGUCUGCUUAAAGGCAGCCGAGUUGAGGCCCUCUUCUAAGAAAAAAAUGAUGGAAGAAAACACUCAUCGAGCUAGAGGUGAAAAGUGCCGAAUCUGAGACCCUCCGAUCCAAGCUAGGAGGGAAAGAGGCUGAGCUGAUAGCCAAGGACAUGCUACUAGAAAACUAGAAGGCAGAGCUGGAGGCUCUCAAGGCCGAGUUGGAAGUCCGAAGAGCAAAGUUGGAGAAUAUAGGGUAGGAGAAGCAAAGUGCUGGGCUGCCAAGAGGACGAAGUACCUGUAGUCAGAGGAAUUUUGCGACCUUCUCAGCACUCGCACCAUCAAGAUGUUCUCAUAUGGUGUGGAGGGAGUGAUAAAACAACUAUGAGGUGGGGCAUCUAACCACUGAGCUCCCUGAAGACUUUGUGAGUUUGCUGAAAAUCUAUGCUAAUAUCUCAGAUGAUGUGUUCAAGGAUUUUGCAUAAACCCCUUUGUACUCUUGUGAUUUUGCUCCACAAACUUGUAAUGCACUAAGUGCGUCCUUUUGAAUGAAUGAAAGUUGGCUUUUGAAAAAUUUACA